RNAcentral lists this ribosomal RNA (324 nucleotides) under Corythion sp. RNAcentral's name for it is "SSU rRNA". The stretch from base 108 to 324 matches the Rfam family "Eukaryotic small subunit ribosomal RNA", at positions 737 to 955 of the family's 1831-position model. Lineage: Eukaryota; Cercozoa; Imbricatea; Euglyphida; Trinematidae. The record is from RNAcentral.
GAUUUCUGGCGAACUGUAGCGGCCCGUGCUCGUAUCGGGCGUGUGUGCCGUGACAUGUUUGUCAUCCUUCCAGAGAGCUGCGUCUACCAUUCAUUUGGCCGGACGUACGCGAUCUGGAUCUAUUACUUUGAAAAAAUUAGAGUGUUUAAAGCAGGCUUAUGCUAUGAAUACAUUAGCAUGGAAUAAUAAUUUAGGACUUUGGUUCUAUUUUGUUGGUUUCUAGGACUGAAGUAAUGAUUGAUAGGGAUAGUUGGGGGUGCUAGUAUUCCGCGGCCAGAGGUGAAAUUCUUGGAUUCGCGGAAGACUAACUACUGCGAAAGCAUU